Non-coding RNA from Rhineura floridana, 619 nucleotides. NCBI's taxonomy places the organism in Eukaryota, Metazoa, Chordata, Lepidosauria, Squamata, Rhineuridae. The record is from the annotation of a RefSeq genome assembly.
AGUUGCCUGGGACCACUUUUCACUCAACCCUCUCAAAGGAUUAGACAGGGAAAAUGAUAGUUUUGCUUCAACUUAUUUUAUUUUCAGCAGCAUUUGGAGGUGUCCGACUGCAGGUGAUUGCACCACUGGUUGAGUCCGGAGGGGAUGUCAAAAGGCCUGGGGAUUCCCUCCGCCUCACCUGCCGAGCCUCUGGAUUCACUUUCAGGAGCUAUGGAAUGCAUUGGGUGAGGCAGGCUCCUGGAAAAGGCUUGGAAUGGGUGGCAUAUAUAAGCUCAGAUUCAUCUACCAUUUAUUACUCGAAUGAAGUGAAGGGACGAUUUACCAUCUCCAGGGACAAUUCAAACAGCUUCUUGUAUCUGCAAAUGAACAACCUGAAAUCUGAGGACACGGCUGCGUAUUAUUGUGCGAGAGACACAGUGAGAGGAAGUGAAUCUGAAGGCAGGCAAAAACCUCCUUUUGAUCAUGAGACCUCCCCAUGCAAUUGAAAUGAACGAGAUUUGAGAGCAAGGCAUCUAAAUGAACAUGUGCUCUGUAGAAAUGGAAGAAUAAUUCUCCUUGUGAUGGGGAUCCUGGGAAUUGUAGUUCUGUGGAUGGGAGAUUGUGAUCUUAAUAGGGAAAG